GAUGAACGCUGGCGGCGUGCCUAACACAUGCAAGUCGAGCGAAGCACUUUAAUUUGAUUCUUCGGAUGAAGGUUUUUGUGACUGAGCGGCGGACGGGUGAGUAACGCGUGGGCAACCUGCCUUACACAGGGGGAUAACAGUUAGAAAUGACUGCUAAUACCGCAUAAGACCACAGUACUGCAUGGUGCAGUGGUAAAAACUCCGGUGGUGUAAGAUGGGCCCGCGUCUGAUUAGGUAGUUGGCGGGGUAACGGCCCACCAAGCCGACGAUCAGUAGCCGACCUGAGAGGGUGACCGGCCACAUUGGGACUGAGACACGGCCCAG
This 324-nucleotide ribosomal RNA is filed under the name uncultured bacterium. RNAcentral describes it as "bacterial SSU rRNA". It matches the Rfam family "Bacterial small subunit ribosomal RNA", at positions 28 to 334 of the family's 1533-position model. The record is from RNAcentral.